GAUGAACGCUAGCGGCAGGCUUAAUACAUGCAAGUCAAGGGGGUAGCAAUACAACCGGCGCACGGGUGAGUAACGCGUACACAACAUGCCAUAUACUGGGGUAUAGCUUUGGGAAACUGAAGGUAAUCCCCCAUAAUAUUGCGGGUAGGCAUCUAUCUGCAAUUAAAGUUUCGACGGUAUAUGAUUGGUGUGCGUUCCAUUAGCUAGUUGGUAGGGUAACGGCCUACCAAGGCGACGAUGGGUAGCUGGCGUGAGAGCGCGACCAGCCACACUGGAACUGAGACACGGUCCAGACUCCUACGGGAGGCAGCAGUAGGGAAUAUUGGACAAUGGGCGAAAGCCUGAUCCAGCCAUGCCGCGUGAUAGAUGAAGGCCCUCUGGGUUGUAAUAUCUUUAUCUGGAGAACUCCUCUAUUCUUAGAGGCCUGACGGUACCAGAGGAAUAAGCACCGGC
This 453-nucleotide ribosomal RNA is filed under the name uncultured bacterium. RNAcentral describes it as "bacterial SSU rRNA". It matches the Rfam family "Bacterial small subunit ribosomal RNA", at positions 28 to 497 of the family's 1533-position model. The record is from RNAcentral.